This 200-nucleotide ribosomal RNA is filed under the name uncultured bacterium. RNAcentral's name for it is "partial 16S ribosomal RNA". It matches the Rfam family "Bacterial small subunit ribosomal RNA", at positions 667 to 855 of the family's 1533-position model. The record is from RNAcentral.
CUCCGAGCUGCUAGAGCCUGCAAAUUCGCUAGAUAUUCGGCCAAGCAACACCAGUGGCGAAGGCGGCUUCACUGGCUCGGCUACUGACGCUGAGGUGCGCAAAGCGUGGGGCAGCAAACAGGAUUAGAUACCCUGGUAGCCCACGCCGUAAACGAUGGAAGCUAGCCGUCAGGAUGCAUGCAUUUUGGUGGCGCACGUAA